RNAcentral lists this long non-coding RNA (3345 nucleotides) under Paramuricea clavata. Lineage: Eukaryota; Metazoa; Cnidaria; Anthozoa; Malacalcyonacea; Plexauridae. The record is from RNAcentral.
AUCGAAAAAAAUUUAAAAUCAACAUAAUUUUCAUCGUUUGAAACCUGGAUGAAACUAUAUGCGAUAUAUAGGACGAUGACAAGGUAUUUUAAAUAAACACAAUCGUACUUUUCUGCCCCCUGUGGAACAAGCAGUUGUGCCAAUGUUUAGAGACCUUACUGAAGAAACUAACAUGUGCAAUAUAAAUCUGUAUUUCUAGACCAUUAUUACUUGUUGAAAAACAAAAUCUCAAGACUUUGAUUUUUUUCAUAAAAGUUACACACAACUGACGUUACGCAAGACGAAAAACGACAUAUGCAUUAACCCCAAAUUUUAUUUCAUUAAAGUCUUUUAGUAUACUCAAUUUCAGCCAUUCUGUUCCAAUUUAUCCAGUAGAAGAAAGAGUAGAAGGCCUGCCGUAUCUAUCAUAUUGAAUGCAUAUUACAAACAUGGAAUGGGAAAUUAUUGGGUUUUUAGGGACUUAGUCAACCCUGUCAAAGCCAUGAUUUCAGUUGUAUUUUUGACGAAAACACUUACUUAGUACUAAUCAAACAUCUAAUCUUCAUGGUAGUAUCCAUAUUGUCACAAAAGAUACUCAAACCCGGUGAGUGGCAAAAUUAUACUUUGGUUAAAUUUCUCGAUUUAGUUCAAUUUCAGCACAUAUAAAUGCUGGGAAAUUCCGUCACCACGUUUGGGUUUACCGUAAAAUUGUGGCAAAAAUAAUCUUUUCGCUUUUGCUUAAAAGGCGAGUAUAUUUAACUGAUUUUUGAUAAGGUUGUUUUUUUAAAAACGUUGUAUUUCGUAUCUAAUAUAAUACAUCAGGCUUCUGUGGACACAACCAUAUGAGUAGGCAUAAAAUGUGACCCAAAGGUCAUUUUGAAUUAUGAUUAAUAUUUUGACUUUAAAUAUUCUUUUUGAAUUGUCAUGUAAUCGAGUAUUCUGAGUAUUUGAGCCAGAAUGAGUUUCAAUUUAUAUCAAUUGUUAUUAAACUUUUUACUCGAACUUUAAAUUGUCUUGCAAUUGAGUAUAUACAAAGAUAAAUCAUUUUAUGAAAUAAACUUUAGGGCUAACAUACUCUUUGGACAUCGUUGUUGCCAAACCCUUCCGAUGUUAUUUUACAUCAGUAGGAUACUAUUUUUCAAAAAGUAACAAUUGCCCAAAAAUACAGAUCUUUAUUGCAAAUUUUCCAACCCAAUCUUCCACAGUACUAUUCAGCCCCGACCACGGACACUGCUUUUUUUAUUAUUUUCCCCGAAGUUAUUAAAGGCCUGCGAAAAAAACUUCGUGCGCACACCCUAUUUAUACGUAUUAAUUAUUCCUUUAGAAUUGCUACACAUCGUGUGGGUACCGAUUGUACGCAACCCUAGCAUAGCAUAAUGUACGUUCAAUUUUGAACGAAAAUGCUGAAUGCAAACUUCCGACGACGCUAUUAUGACCGUACGUCGCUGAGCUUGCUCUACAGAGUGUUUUCAUGACCAUGUUCAGGAACAAAUCUGGAUCGAAAUUAAUACACAUUUCUUUUUUUAAAAAGCGAGUUUGCUCCUUAACAACCCACAUAAAAACACUCUAACCCUGGCGGUCUUUUCAUUAGAAAUAAUGCCGUAUUUACACUUAAUGCGCUUGUAAAUUGUCGUUACAACUUGAAUCUAAAGGCAUUUGCCAGAAACGCACAAUUCAAAUUGCAAAAUUGUCAAUUUUUUGUUUUCGCAAUUUUGUGAAUUAUUAUAAAGUAUUUUACGUUUCAUGUGAGUGUCGUAUAUUGCGCAGUUUGGACGCUUCUAAACUGUCUAACUCCCUAACUAUUUUGCGCACGCGACGGACCAUAUUAUCCGCAUGCAACCGCCCUGAAAAGGAAUAUCCCCGAAGAUAUUGAGCCGGAAUAACCGCCAUAAGAGAGGGGACCUAGUCACUGGUAGCGGACUAUUUUUUCAUGAAGUAAGACCGGCUACCAGGAAAAUACAUGCUUUACCUUACUACGGGAGAGAAAAUGUUUAAAAAAACUUUGCCACCAUAAUUGUCUUAUUCUCGCCGAUCCAAACGACCAACAUGAUUUCCACCAAGUCUUCUUACGGGUACCAUUUGCACCCUCUAAGCUAUGGGUACCAUUUGUACCCCCUAACCCCAAGACAAACGAUGCCAGUUUUUUGAAGAAAAAAAAGGUUUAGGCCCCGUUUACAUGAGACCGGGACGAAAAUUGAAAUUGACAAUAUCUUUACAUGAGACCGGUACGAAAAUCACAAAAUUUUCAACUUAUUCCCCUUGCCAGGGCAAUUUUCUUUUUCAGAUGGCUUUUGUUAGCAUGUGUUGUUCCAAUGUCAAGGUUACAGCCGAGACCGGUCUGAAAUGUAUUUCUGUUUACAUUCAUCCCCGUCUGAAUUCAUGCCGGUCUGAAGUCAGUCGGUUCGGUUCAGCAGGCGGAAUGACUUGAGACCGGUCUGAGUUAUUUUCGUCCCGGUCUCAUGUAAACAUCUAUUAUAAAUAAUACUGUGACCGAAACGAAAUGGUCCCGGUUUGACUUCGUUCCGGUCUCAUGUAAACAGGGUCUUAGAUGAGGAAAGUGACAAAUUUCUUUUUCACUAACAAGCGACAAGAUAUUACAAAGAAUCAAACAGCAAUUUCCAAUCGUCGUUCUAUUUCGAAAGACAAAACUCUGGCAAAGCUUUUCUUGUACACAUCCUGCCUCAUGACCCUGUCUAAACUGUUGCGUUGCUGCACUUGUUAUGCGUGUGCACAAAGGCAGUAUAUAUAGAAUAUAUAUAGAACCAUGCAAUAACCAUACACUCAAAUGUUCCCUUUUUUUUUCAGAUCGGUUAUCAAAUUCAGAAGCUGACGAAUUUCGAAAGUACAGUUUUUGCAGAGAAAAUCAUCGUUAUAAACUUUCUUUCAAGCUAUCAAAGUCUACUGAACAGAAAAUAGAUCGAAUUUGUAAAUAUACUGAACAUUUAGACCGCCAGGAUUUAUGCCGGAUUUCAUUGUACCCAGAACAAAAAACAAACAAACAAUGGCCUGGAUACAAGUAUCUACAGCCUGUUCGCAGGCAAACAAGAAAGAACAGUACCUGAAAAUAGACAUUUCUGUGACCUUUGUAUGUCCAUCAACUGAAUAUCCAUUACGGGGCCAUAUUUAUCCAUCAUAGUUUCUUUGUAUCCAUUUAUUAUAGUCACAAAUAUCCACUGCUGGCCAUGAACAUUUAUCAAUCCUUUCAUUUCAUCCGAGAACUACUGUCUUUGGUGUAUUGUUGUAAUUUGAUUAGAAAUAGAGGUAUUCCCUCAUGUAUUGCUCUUCGAGGCAUGUCAUCUUGGUAACAUGAUAUUUUAUAAAUCAAUAUUUCAUCAGCACGUUCAAGUAAUGAUCUGUAAAACAAAG